UUAAAUUGAAGAGUUUGAUCAUGGCUCAGAUUGAACGCUGGCGGCAGGCCUAACACAUGCAAGUCGAACGGUAACAGGAAGAAGCUUGCUUCUUUGCUGACGAGUGGCGGACGGGUGAGUAAUGUCUGGGAAACUGCCUGAUGGAGGGGGAUAACUACUGGAAACGGUAGCUAAUACCGCAUAACGUCGCAAGA
This 194-nucleotide ribosomal RNA is filed under the name Escherichia coli. RNAcentral's name for it is "partial 16S ribosomal RNA". It matches the Rfam family "Bacterial small subunit ribosomal RNA", at positions 1 to 186 of the family's 1533-position model. Lineage: Bacteria; Pseudomonadati; Pseudomonadota; Gammaproteobacteria; Enterobacterales; Enterobacteriaceae. RNAcentral also lists the same sequence under 1 other name. The record is from RNAcentral.